UCCCCGUUCUCCUGGGCAGUCCCUCUAGAGUGCUCGGCAUGACCCGGGGGCAACUAGAGGCAGGGGUUGCGCUCGUUGCGGGCUUUCACCCUCCUACUACGUGCAUGUCCAGCCUAGGUAAGGUUCUUCGCGUUGCGUCGAAUUAAACCACAUGCUCCACCGCUUGUGCGGGCCCCCGUCAAUUCCUUUGAGUUUCAACCUUGCGGCCGUACUUCCCAGGCGGGAUACUUACUGCGUUAGCUGUGGCACCGGCGGUAACCCGCCGACACUUAGUAUCCAUCGUUUAAGGCGUGGACUAC
Molecule: unclassified non-coding RNA, 299 nt
Filed under: uncultured Nitrospiraceae bacterium
Lineage: Bacteria; Pseudomonadati; Nitrospirota; Nitrospiria; Nitrospirales; Nitrospiraceae
Description: contains 16S-23S intergenic spacer region
Source: RNAcentral